ACCCGAGGAUCGCCAGGCUAAACUUUGCGACACAUGCCACGAUUUAGUAUUUCGUGUAGAGAGCAAGCUUAAAGCACGUCGAGGUGAAAGUGACGUUUAUGCAGCUCUUGAGAAUAUUUGUGAUACGAACCAUCCCACGCGCCUUUCAACUGGCUUUAAGAAGAACUG
Molecule: non-coding RNA, 168 nt
Filed under: Bigelowiella longifila
Lineage: Eukaryota; Cercozoa; Chlorarachniophyceae
Source: RNAcentral